RNAcentral lists this ribosomal RNA (253 nucleotides) under uncultured bacterium. RNAcentral's name for it is "partial 16S ribosomal RNA". It matches the Rfam family "Bacterial small subunit ribosomal RNA", at positions 524 to 776 of the family's 1533-position model. The record is from RNAcentral.
UACGUAGGGAGCAAGCGUUGUCCGGAAUCAUUGGGCGUAAAGCGCGCGUAGGUGGCCUCGUAAGUCCGCUGUGAAAGUCCAGGGCUCAACCCUGGAAUGCCGGUGGAUACUGUCGGGCUUGAGUACGGAAGAGGCGAGUGGAAUUCCUGGUGUAGCGGUGAAAUGCGCAGAUAUCAGGAGGAACACCAAUUGCGAAGGCAGCUCGCUGGGACGUUACUGACGCUGAGACGCGAAAGCGUGGGGAGCAAACAGG